GAUGAACGCUGGCGGCGUGCCUAAUACAUGCAAGUCGAGCGAACGGACGAGAAGCUUGCUUCUCUGAUGUUAGCGGCGGACGGGUGAGUAACACGUGGAUAACCUACCUAUAAGACUGGGAUAACUUAGGGAAACCGGAGCUCAUACAGGAUAAUAUUUUGAACCGCAUGGUUCAAAAGUGAAAGACGGUCUUGCUGUCACUUAUAGAUGGAUCCGCGCUGCAUUAGCUAGUUGGUAAGGUAACGGCUUACCAAGGCAACGAUGCAUAGCCGACCUGAGAGGAUGAUCGGCCACACUGGAACUGAGACACGGUCCAGACUCCUACGGGAGGCAGCAGUAGGGAAUCUUCCGCAAUGGGCGAAAGCCUGACGGAGCAACGCCGCGUGAGUGAUGAAGGUCUUCGGAUCGUAAAGCUCUGUUAGUAGGGAAGAACAUAAGUGUAAGUAACUGUGCACAUCUUGACGUUACCUAAACAGAAAGCCACGGCUAACUUCGUG
Molecule: ribosomal RNA, 497 nt
Filed under: uncultured bacterium
Lineage: Bacteria
Description: partial 16S ribosomal RNA
Rfam family: Bacterial small subunit ribosomal RNA
Source: RNAcentral